AUACUCUGGUUUCUCCUCAGAUCAUAUAAAUCUUUUGCCUCUUACUAAGGUUUUCCAUGGAGAGAAACGAGUCUGAUUUUUAAGCAAUUUUUUGAGGUCUUGCUUUUGCAAGGC
RNAcentral lists this small nuclear RNA (114 nucleotides) under Dasypus novemcinctus (nine-banded armadillo). RNAcentral's name for it is "U5 spliceosomal RNA (ENSDNOG00000034790.1)". It matches the Rfam family "U5 spliceosomal RNA". From Rfam's summary of the family: U5 RNA is a component of both types of known spliceosome. The precise function of this molecule is unknown, though it is known that the 5' loop is required for splice site selection and p220 binding, and that both the 3' stem-loop and the Sm site are important for Sm protein binding and cap methylation. Lineage: Eukaryota; Metazoa; Chordata; Mammalia; Cingulata; Dasypodidae. The record is from RNAcentral.